UACGUGGGGGGCAAGCGUUGUCCGGAAUCAUUGGGCGUAAAGCGCGUGUAGGCGGCCAGAAAAGUCCGCUGUGAAAACUCGAGGCUCAACUUCGAGCUGUCGGUGGAAACUUUCUGGCUAGAGUCCGGAAGAGGAGAAUGGAAUUCCUGGUGUAGCGGUGAAAUGCGCAGAUAUCAGGAAGAACACCCGUGGCGAAGGCGGUUCUCUGGGACGGUACUGACGCUGAGACGCGAAAGCGUGGGGAGCGAACAGG
This 253-nucleotide ribosomal RNA is filed under the name uncultured bacterium. Its description in RNAcentral is "partial 16S ribosomal RNA". It matches the Rfam family "Bacterial small subunit ribosomal RNA", at positions 524 to 776 of the family's 1533-position model. The record is from RNAcentral.